Molecule: long non-coding RNA, 748 nt
Organism: Nomia melanderi (Alkali bee)
Lineage: Eukaryota; Metazoa; Arthropoda; Insecta; Hymenoptera; Halictidae
Source: RefSeq, a predicted model, not a curated record
ACCGUGGCCUUUGUGAUCGUUUAGACGCGACAGGAAACACGAGGUCUCGCGCACGCAAUGCUGCCACCCCCCACUCCCACUCGAUGCGUGCAUGGCUGCGCAGGUGUGUUGUCCGUACUCUGCGUUCGUGCUCGGUCACUCACGCGUAUCGGGGUUGCUGGCCAUUUUGCAAUUGUUCGCGGUUGCAUCAUCGACGGAUAAAUCGUAAUUCCGUGACGCUCCCGCCGUAAAGAUUGCGCCGGAAUAUCGGAAACAGACAUCGCCGCAGCCGGGAAACGGCGGUGCACCGUCGGGCCGCAGGAGAUCCAGACUUUACUCUGCAGACGUUCGUUUAAGCGACGGCUUUCCUCGAAACAUAUUCGGUCUGUGAAACAAGCCGGAUCCACUAACGGGAGAUUGGAUGGCAGCGUAGAAAACAGCUCGGCCGCACUCUGCACCGAUCCAGAACCUUCCGUUCGAGACAAGGAAGCAGCAGAUUUGGAAAACGGAAAAAGGUGGUUCCUGAGAGAAGGGGUUGUUAAUUCUGGACAUUCUCCCUGCUAGAUGCGUGUUAAUCGUGUUUUCGACGCUGGCGCUUGUCCUGGAGCCUGCCAAUCGACUUCCUUCCUACAUCGAAUCGAUAUCUGGAGGAUCGAACGGUUCUGUUUCCGGUGGAAUUGAAAUGGAAAUCGGGAUCAGCCAAGUUCAUGGACACCGUGGCCGCGAAGGAUUUCAUCGAUCGCCGGAGAUCCCGAUGGAUGAGAUUCGC